CAUUAGAUGGCUGAAUGUAAGCUUUGGAAUUUUAAACCAUUAUAUAAUAGAAUAACACCUAUUUCUAAUGA
RNAcentral lists this transfer RNA (71 nucleotides) under Pachyta bicuneata. RNAcentral's name for it is "tRNA-Lys". The record is from RNAcentral. Lineage: Eukaryota; Metazoa; Arthropoda; Insecta; Coleoptera; Cerambycidae.